AGAGAAAAUUAAGCAUUAGGCACAUCUGUGUUACUGUAAGGCCAAGCCAUUUUGUUUAAGAUACAUUUAAAUCAAUAGGAAGCAAAACAAAGAUCUGUUACAAUCUGUUCACAAGAACAUAUUUUGCAUUGAGGGAUAACUGGCAGUUAGAAGAAAAGUGAAGAGAUCAAUGAAGGGAGACAAGUACUCCAGCCCCUUCCUUUAUUUGUAUAAUUGAAUUAUCUAUUAUAUGAAUACAAGAAAAACAGGAAUGGAUGUUUCCAAAAUACUGCAGAAAAAAAACAUGAGUAUUCCAUUCACACCUCCUAAAGGAUAACAAUCUGUCUCCUAAAUCUCCUGAGAGUUAGAAAGAGCAGCAAAGGCAAAAAGAGCUCCCACUUUAAUAUACUCAAUUUAUCCGUUUCCACAUUUCUGUAACCGAAGCCCUUUUCCCUUUGCAAUAAAUCUGACAAAUCUAGCCGUCUUCCUUGUUAGUGGCUUAACAUUCUGGGUUUACAAAAAUUUAGGCAGUGAAAAAAAGACAAGGGCAGAACUGAGGAGAAGCUGAAUAAACUUUGGACAGAAGCGGGAUAAAAAGAAGACUGACAACAUGGGAUUGCCAAGAAAAUUGGGAAGUCCAGAAAGGGCAAUGUGUGGAGAAUAAGGAAGAUGAUCUUGAUGGAGAUAUGCAAGAACUAUUACCUAAGCAGAGAUGCUGAAACAUUUUUUUUUAAAGUCCCGAACAGGAUAACAUUCAAAAGUAGCUCAGUGGACUUCUCCCUGAUUUACUGGAGUAUAAGUUGAAGUGGGAUAGGACAAUCAAAUUCUGUUAUUGCCAAUAUUAAUAAAUGUAAGUUUAACACC
Long non-coding RNA from Crotalus tigris (Tiger rattlesnake), 843 nucleotides. RefSeq lists it as uncharacterized. The record is from RefSeq and is a predicted model, not a curated record. NCBI's taxonomy places the organism in Eukaryota, Metazoa, Chordata, Lepidosauria, Squamata, Viperidae. The transcript has 2 exons.